GGAGGGCAUCGUCAUGGUUAAUUUUAUGUAUCUACUGGCUGGGUCAUGGAACCCAAGUUUCCUAGAUAUUUGGUCAAAUAUCAUCCUCGAUGUUUCUGUGAAAGUAUCUUUCAGAUGAGGUUAACGUUUAGAUCAGUAGACCUUGAGAAAAGCACGCUGCCCUCCAUAAUGGGGGUAGGCUUCAUCCAGUCAGCUGAAGGCCUUAAGAGAAAAGAGACUGAUCUCUCUCCAAAAGAGGCAAAGACCGCCUCUGGACUCCAGCUGCAGCAUCAACUGUUCCCUGGGUUUCCAAGCCUAUGGACCUAUCCUGCGGGGUUUGGACUUGCCAUUCCUUAAACCCUUAGAUCAGCGGAAUACUUAAAUCAGAAAUGAACAGCAUCCAGCCAUGUGGAAACAUGACAAGCUGGCUUGGAGCAAGGCCUUCAAGUUCCAAAGGCAGCACAGGCUGUGUGAAUACAAGAACCAGCAGAGAGGAGAGUGACAGGCGAGGCCGAAAGGAACACCUGGCAUUCUGACUCCUGAAGAAGCACAUGUGUCAGCACCUCCCCACGCGCAGUUACGGAGACCAUCUUCUCCCUCACAAGCAUUUUUUACCCUCAGGAAAUUCGAGAAAACGUCGCAAAUCAAAAUCCGUGAUCACAAGUAGAAAAACAACUUACCGUAAAAAAUAAGUUCACGCUCCUUAAGGAUCGGUCUACUGAAUCUCAUGUGCAAAGAGAAACCUAAAUUAUGGAGAAAAC
RNAcentral lists this long non-coding RNA (740 nucleotides) under Equus caballus (horse). RNAcentral describes it as "lncRNA (ENSECAG00000044022.1)". Lineage: Eukaryota; Metazoa; Chordata; Mammalia; Perissodactyla; Equidae. The record is from RNAcentral.